Phragmites australis (common reed) is the source of this 2881-nucleotide long non-coding RNA. RefSeq lists it as uncharacterized. The transcript is spliced from 4 exons. Lineage: Eukaryota; Viridiplantae; Streptophyta; Magnoliopsida; Poales; Poaceae. The record is from RefSeq and is a predicted model, not a curated record.
AUGCACAUUCUUUCUUCUGGUUUUUCCUCUUCUCCUGAACACAAUUUGAUCAUGUAUUCUAAAACAAUUGGAAAAGUGGGAAAAAACUCCUAUAUGCUUUAUAAUAUACUGACCUGUGCCACUUGUUUUAUUUUGUAUUUUUGAUCUUUAAGGCCCCACAGAAACCAAGGUAGCAUUUAAUGACUUACUAAUAGGGGUAGAAACGUGUAGCCUCCUUUCCUCUUGCCAUGAUUUAACUGUUUUCUAACCUGUGCGCCACAUGGAAAAUUGUGUUAUAUUAAGCAUCUGACUACGGUACAUAUAGUCAUACACCUCUUAGACAUUAAAAAGAUUUUCUAGACUUACAAAAGACUAUGCAUUUAGGAUGGCAUUGUUACGGUUGGUGUAAUGAAUCUAUCUAAUAUGCUAUGGAUUUACGAUAUUAUCUCAUUUCUUUGUUGUUAUAUGCAAUGUGGUAAUUAAUUGAUUAGGGACAAUUUCUAGCAAAUUCAUACCAAUUUUUUUUGAAUUUUUUGAAUUUGAUUCCGAUAAAUCUAAUAUAUCAUAUUUAACAGUGACCCUCGGUAAAUUUUAUUUACCGGUAAUGAAAACCCUGGCAACCGCAAGGGACAAUCCCAAUCUCCGCCGCACUCACCUCCACUCAGCCACUCCCCUAGGCCACCCCCUGCCUGCGCGGCUGCGCCCAGCUCAGCAUCUCCGCCGCCGGCCGUCGAGGGGUCGACCUGCCGCCGCCCGGAUCUAGAUCCAGGAGGCAGGAUCCACAUUCUGUCAGGCUGCCGCGGCGCCAACAUCCGCUGAGUGUCCACUGCGCACGCCGACACCGUUUGCCGGAGUCCAAGAACGCCGAGCAUGCCAUGAGGAUUUCCUCUUUUAGCUUUCUUAGAUAGAUCUCUUGGCUGGACCUCACUCUCUGUUGAUAGAUCUCUCACUCUGUGUUGUGUCUACUCUUAGCUUUCUUAGAUGGUGAUAGUAUUGGAGUACCUUAGGCGUAGAAUUUGUUUUGCAGUACAUGUCCUCAAUUUAGUUCCUCAGUUUUCAGUCCAAGUUAUUAUUGUCAUGAGAAUGGACCAUUCAUUUUUUGGGAUGUUGACCAAAUCUCAUCUUCUGUUUGCAGUAAUUUGAUGUGUUCCAUCUUGGUUUCUUAUCCCCAACAAGUGUUUCUUCUCUGUUGCCGAUUGUGUUAUCCUGUCUUGUUCCAUAAGUACAUGAAGGAGUAUAGUACUUGCCCAUUUCAGCGCCACAAGCGGAUGCCCCUUGUGGCAAAUUUCACAGUUCAGAUAUCCCCAUUCCCAUUGGACCAGCCAGCGGGUGAUGAUGGGACAGGGCACAAUUGUUUGACUGAUGUUCAUUUAACUCAUCUCGCCAGGGGUGGCAAAGGGCUUGAAAAACUAAGUUUGAUAUGGUGUUCCGCCAUACCUUCGACAGGCUUGGUGAGAAUAGCAGAGAAUCGCAAGAAUUUGACUUUAUUGGAUCUCUAGAUUCCAACCAUGGUCAUUGAUCUAAGGUUGCUUAGGAAUUACCUCGAUGCUUUUCAGAGGAAGAAUCAUUCAGAAAUGUAGUAGUGUGUUCUGUGAACCGGAAGUGAGGCUACUUUUGCGAUCCUGCUUGGAUGAUAGGAUUCACACAUGAUGCCCUUCAAUACAUUUAGAAAGCAGCGGGUGUAGAUAUAAGGACCCAGCGGUACCCUGAGAUACUUGUUGUUGACGGGAUUUUUCUGAACUUAAGGUCAGUUGGUUAUUGUUUCUCAAAGAUCAAAGCAGCUACAAGGUUUACUUCAUGUUAUUUGAUAAGGAUGGUGUGACUUGUAGUACUAACAGUAACUAGGUUUGUAUUUUGAGUUGAAGCACUUGUGUUUUUAUUUACAGAUUUUGAAACAUGAUAAUACAGUGCAGUCGGUUCUUUGUGCAUGCAUCUGAUAAUUCAGUGAAUUAACAAGGUGCAGAGGCUGCUUUUUUGAGAUUGUGUUGCACUUGUUUUCUCAGUUGUGCAUGCACCUGCUUUUUAUAUAUACUGACUCUUUUUUGAGAUAUACAACUCAAUUUUUUUCAGUACUCUUGGUUCAAGAGCAUGGAAAAAAGCUGUUUUCAGUUGUCUUUGGAUAGAUGGGCUCAGAUUAACUUGGACUACAGUCUACACACUUGCUUAGCUUUUUCAAUUAGUCCUGUGUCGAAGAACAACAAAAUCUAAUGCAGCGCAAGUACUUGAACUGCUUCCAUAUGAAGUGAGUAAAUGUUUGAAUGGCAUACCCUGAUUUGCCAGUCAUUUCCGAUUUAUCACAUAAAAUUACUCUACCUUUGUCCUUUGUGUUCUAUUGCGUACUUCCCCUAGAUGUUUGGUUUCAGUGUUGUGGGAAUAAGGCUAAUCAUAAAUAGAGCAUGCAGGAGUAUCAUUUCACAACUUCGCAUAUUUUAUAUCCAAUUGUUUAUUUUGUAUAUUAGGCCAUACAUCUCUAGCAAUUUGUUUUUAUUCUACUUCUAAUGCAAUGUUUAAUAUCGAAUGCCAAUGAAGUAUCACAAUAUCCUAAUUCUAUCGCUGAUGCUGUUUGGCAAGCGAAAGGUAACCUAGGGUCAAGGACGGUACUCUGGAGGUGGUAAAGCUGGUAGCAAUUGAGUUUCAGUCAGUUUUUUUAUCGUCUUCGAGAAACAAAUGUAAACAAUCCUUGGGUGGGUGAAGGGGACUUAAGACUUGUACGGGCUCUUCAUCAAAUAAUUUUGUAGUUUGUCGUGCUGUCGUGUCCUACGCUGGUUUGGGCAUGGUUGGUUUCGAAAUUCUCCCUGAAAUAUCAAGUGUUUCUACUUAAGUUAAUGUGGAUCUAAUCUCCUAGAGCUACGAUGUUAUUGCGAUAAUUUGUGAUGAUUUUAUUUAGUCGAUUACUUUUUGU